GGGUUGUGAGGUUAAGCGACUAAGCGUACACGGUGGAUGCCCUGGCAGUCAGAGGCGAUGAAGGACGUGCUAAUCUGCGAUAAGCGUCGGUAAGGUGAUAUGAACCGUUAUAACCGGCGAUUUCCGAAUGGGGAAACCCAGUGUGUUUCGACACACUAUCAUUAACUGAAUCCAUAGGUUAAUGAGGCGAACCGGGGGAACUGAAACAUCUAAGUACCCCGAGGAAAAGAAAUCAACCGAGAUUCCCCCAGUAGCGGCGAGCGAACGGGGAGCAGCCCAGAGCCUGAAUCAGUGUGUGUGUUAGUGGAAGCGUCUGGAAAGGCGCGCGAUACAGGGUGACAGCCCCGUACACAAAAAUGCACAUACUGUGAGCUCGAUGAGUAGGGCGGGACACGUGGUAUCCUGUCUGAAUAUGGGGGGACCAUCCUCCAAGGCUAAAUACUCCUGACUGACCGAUAGUGAACCAGUACCGUGAGGGAAAGGCGAAAAGAACCCCGGCGAGGGGAGUGAAAAAGAACCUGAAACCGUGUACGUACAAGCAGUGGGAGCACGCUUAGGCGUGUGACUGCGUACCUUUUGUAUAAUGGGUCAGCGACUUAUAUUCUGUAGCAAGGUUAACCGAAUAGGGGAGCCGAAGGGAAACCGAGUCUUAACUGGGCGUUAAGUUGCAGGGUAUAGACCCGAAACCCGGUGAUCUAGCCAUGGGCAGGUUGAAGGUUGGGUAACACUAACUGGAGGACCGAACCGACUAAUGUUGAAAAAUUAGCGGAUGACUUGUGGCUGGGGGUGAAAGGCCAAUCAAACCGGGAGAUAGCUGGUUCUCCCCGAAAGCUAUUUAGGUAGCGCCUCGUGAAUUCAUCUCCGGGGGUAGAGCACUGUUUCGGCAAGGGGGUCAUCCCGACUUACCAACCCGAUGCAAACUGCGAAUACCGGAGAAUGUUAUCACGGGAGACACACGGCGGGUGCUAACGUCCGUCGUGAAGAGGGAAACAACCCAGACCGCCAGCUAAGGUCCCAAAGUCAUGGUUAAGUGGGAAACGAUGUGGGAAGGCCCAGACAGCCAGGAUGUUGGCUUAGAAGCAGCCAUCAUUUAAAGAAAGCGUAAUAGCUCACUGGUCGAGUCGGCCUGCGCGGAAGAUGUAACGGGGCUAAACCAUGCACCGAAGCUGCGGCAGCGACGCUUAUGCGUUGUUGGGUAGGGGAGCGUUCUGUAAGCCUGUGAAGGUGUACUGUGAGGUAUGCUGGAGGUAUCAGAAGUGCGAAUGCUGACAUAAGUAACGAUAAAGCGGGUGAAAAGCCCGCUCGCCGGAAGACCAAGGGUUCCUGUCCAACGUUAAUCGGGGCAGGGUGAGUCGACCCCUAAGGCGAGGCCGAAAGGCGUAGUCGAUGGGAAACAGGUUAAUAUUCCUGUACUUGGUGUUACUGCGAAGGGGGGACGGAGAAGGCUAUGUUGGCCGGGCGACGGUUGUCCCGGUUUAAGCGUGUAGGCUGGUUUUCCAGGCAAAUCCGGAAAACUAAGGCUGAGGCGUGAUGACGAGGCACUACGGUGCUGAAGCAACAAAUGCCCUGCUUCCAGGAAAAGCCUCUAAGCAUCAGGUAACAUCAAAUCGUACCCCAAACCGACACAGGUGGUCAGGUAGAGAAUACCAAGGCGCUUGAGAGAACUCGGGUGAAGGAACUAGGCAAAAUGGUGCCGUAACUUCGGGAGAAGGCACGCUGAUAUGUAGGUGAAGUCCCUCGCGGAUGGAGCUGAAAUCAGUCGAAGAUACCAGCUGGCUGCAACUGUUUAUUAAAAACACAGCACUGUGCAAACACGAAAGUGGACGUAUACGGUGUGACGCCUGCCCGGUGCCGGAAGGUUAAUUGAUGGGGUUAGCGCAAGCGAAGCUCUUGAUCGAAGCCCCGGUAAACGGCGGCCGUAACUAUAACGGUCCUAAGGUAGCGAAAUUCCUUGUCGGGUAAGUUCCGACCUGCACGAAUGGCGUAAUGAUGGCCAGGCUGUCUCCACCCGAGACUCAGUGAAAUUGAACUCGCUGUGAAGAUGCAGUGUACCCGCGGCAAGACGGAAAGACCCCGUGAACCUUUACUAUAGCUUGACACUGAACAUUGAGCCUUGAUGUGUAGGAUAGGUGGGAGGCUUUGAAGUGUGGACGCCAGUCUGCAUGGAGCCGACCUUGAAAUACCACCCUUUAAUGUUUGAUGUUCUAACGUUGACCCGUAAUCCGGGUUGCGGACAGUGUCUGGUGGGUAGUUUGACUGGGGCGGUCUCCUCCUAAAGAGUAACGGAGGAGCACGAAGGUUGGCUAAUCCUGGUCGGACAUCAGGAGGUUAGUGCAAUGGCAUAAGCCAGCUUGACUGCGAGCGUGACGGCGCGAGCAGGUGCGAAAGCAGGUCAUAGUGAUCCGGUGGUUCUGAAUGGAAGGGCCAUCGCUCAACGGAUAAAAGGUACUCCGGGGAUAACAGGCUGAUACCGCCCAAGAGUUCAUAUCGACGGCGGUGUUUGGCACCUCGAUGUCGGCUCAUCACAUCCUGGGGCUGAAGUAGGUCCCAAGGGUAUGGCUGUUCGCCAUUUAAAGUGGUACGCGAGCUGGGUUUAGAACGUCGUGAGACAGUUCGGUCCCUAUCUGCCGUGGGCGCUGGAGAACUGAGGGGGGCUGCUCCUAGUACGAGAGGACCGGAGUGGACGCAUCACUGGUGUUCGGGUUGUCAUGCCAAUGGCACUGCCCGGUAGCUAAAUGCGGAAGAGAUAAGUGCUGAAAGCAUCUAAGCACGAAACUUGCCCCGAGAUGAGUUCUCCCUGACUCCUUGAGAGUCCUGAAGGAACGUUGAAGACGACGACGUUGAUAGGCCGGGUGUGUAAGCGCAGCGAUGCGUUGAGCUAACCGGUACUAAUGAACCGUGAGGCUUAACCUUACAACGCCGAAGGUGUUU
RNAcentral lists this ribosomal RNA (2931 nucleotides) under Escherichia coli. RNAcentral's name for it is "23S ribosomal RNA". It matches the Rfam family "Bacterial large subunit ribosomal RNA". Lineage: Bacteria; Pseudomonadati; Pseudomonadota; Gammaproteobacteria; Enterobacterales; Enterobacteriaceae. The record is from RNAcentral.